GAGAUCGGAUAACACUGGAAACAGAUGCUAAUACCGGAUAACAACAGAUGAUGCCUAUCAACUGUUUAAAAGAUGGUUCUGCUAUCACUCUUGGAUGGACCUGCGGUGCAUUAGCUAGUUGGUAGGGUAACGGCCUACCAAGGCGAUGAUGCAUAGCCGAGUUGAGAGACUGAUCGGCCACAUUGGGACUGAGACACGGCCCAAACUCCUACGGGAGGCAGCAGCC
RNAcentral lists this ribosomal RNA (226 nucleotides) under uncultured Lactobacillus sp. RNAcentral describes it as "partial 16S ribosomal RNA". It matches the Rfam family "Bacterial small subunit ribosomal RNA", at positions 134 to 355 of the family's 1533-position model. The record is from RNAcentral. Lineage: Bacteria; Bacillati; Bacillota; Bacilli; Lactobacillales; Lactobacillaceae.